AUACAGGGCCUUUUUCUAAUGCUAGAGCUCUUCAGCGGGGCUCUGCGCAUUGAACCAACAUGCUCACUUUCUCUGGCCCUCCCCCUUUUUUGGGGGCCGCUCUAAUUGAAAAAUGCCCGGGCCUAAUUUUUUUCCCAGUCCGGCCCUGGUCUGACCUAUGGUACUUUCUGCACCUACCAUGGUGACCAUGGGCAACGGGGAAUCAGGGUUCGAAUCCGGAGAGGGAGCCUGAGAAAUGGCUACCACAUCCAAAGAAGGCAACAUUCACGCAAAUUACCCACUCCCGACGCGGGGAGGUAGUGAUGAAAAAUAACAAUAAAGGACUCUUUUGAGGCCCUGUA
Molecule: non-coding RNA, 341 nt
Organism: Pelobates cultripes (western spadefoot toad)
Lineage: Eukaryota; Metazoa; Chordata; Amphibia; Anura; Pelobatidae
Source: the annotation of a GenBank genome assembly